AGUGAACGCUGGCGGUAGGCCUAACACAUGCAAGUCGAACGGCAGCACAGUAAGAGCUUGCUCUUACGGGUGGCGAGUGGCGGACGGGUGAGGAAUACAUCGGAAUCUACUUUUUCGUGGGGGAUAACGUAGGGAAACUUACGCUAAUACCGCAUACGACCUACGGGUGAAAGCAGGGGAUCUUCGGACCUUGCGCGAUUGAAUGAGCCGAUGUCGGAUUAGCUAGUUGGCGGGGUAAAGGCCCACCAAGGCGACGAUCCGUAGCUGGUCUGAGAGGAUGAUCAGCCACCCUGGAACUGAGACACGGUCCAGACUCCUGCGGCAGGCAGCAGUGGGGAAUAUUGGACAAUGGGCGCAAGCCUGAUCCAGCCAUACCGCGUGUGUGAAGAAGGCCUUCGGGUUGUAAAGCCCUUUUGUUGGGAAAGAAAAGCAGCAGGUUAAUACCCCGCUGUUCUGACGGUACCCAAAGAAUAAGCACCGGCUAACUUCGUG
Molecule: ribosomal RNA, 492 nt
Filed under: uncultured bacterium
Lineage: Bacteria
Description: partial 16S ribosomal RNA
Rfam family: Bacterial small subunit ribosomal RNA
Source: RNAcentral